This 435-nucleotide ribosomal RNA is filed under the name Embletonia pulchra. RNAcentral's name for it is "partial large subunit ribosomal RNA". It matches the Rfam family "Bacterial large subunit ribosomal RNA", at positions 1829 to 2597 of the family's 2925-position model. The record is from RNAcentral. Lineage: Eukaryota; Metazoa; Mollusca; Gastropoda; Nudibranchia; Embletoniidae.
CGCCAUGAGGGAUUAUUCAUGGUCUAACCUGCUCACUGCUCAUGAAGUAAAGAGCCGCGGUAUUUUGACCGUGCUAAGGUAGCGUAAUCAAUUGGCUCAUAAUUGGAGUCCCGUAUGAAAGGAUUUCCCGCGCUGGACUGUCUCCUUUCAAUUUAGUUGAAUUUACUGUGCAAGUGAAAAAGCUUGUUCUAAAUAAAAAGACGAGAAGACCCUCAGAAUUUUUACUAAAAAUUUUCACUUUUGUGUUUUGAUUGGGGCGAUCAUGGAGCAUUAGAAUCCUCCACGUAAUACACAUGGCGAUGAAUAAUAGGAAAGAAUAAAUUACCUGAGGGAUAACAGCAUUAUUCUUAAAAUGAGAUUGUGACCUCGAUGUUGGACUAGGGAGCCUCUCCGCUAGCCGCGGGGAGAGCGGGUUCUGUUCGAACUAAUACCCCU